GACGAACGCUGCGGCUUGCUUAACACAUUCAAGUCGAACGGAAAGGCCCUUCUUUUGUUGGGUUCUCGGGUGGCGAACGGGUGAGUAACACGUGAGUAACCUGCCCUUGACUUUUGGAUAACUUCAGGAAACUGGGGCUAAUACCGGAUAGGCGCUCCUGCUGCAUGGUGGGGGUUGGAAAGUUUCGGCGUUUGGGGAUGGACUCGCGGCUUAUCAGCUUGUUGGUGGGGUAGUGGCUUACCAAGGCUUUGCAGGGUAGCCGGCCUGAGAGGGUGACCGGCCACAUUGGGACUGAGAUACGGCCCAGACUCCUACGGGAGGCAGCAGUGGGGAAUAUUGCACAAUGGGAGGAAGCCUGAUGCAGAAACGCCGCGUGCGGGAUGACGGCCUUCGGGGUGUAAACAGCUUUAGCCUGUGACGAAGCGUGAGUGACGGUAAUGGGUAAAGAAGCACCGGCUAACUACGUG
Molecule: ribosomal RNA, 467 nt
Filed under: uncultured bacterium
Lineage: Bacteria
Description: partial 16S ribosomal RNA
Rfam family: Bacterial small subunit ribosomal RNA
Source: RNAcentral